GGAACUGACAUAAUUUGCUGUCGUGACUGGCUCAAGGGGUUCAUCCAAAAUGGAUUCUUCUCUUGUUUUUGCUCAUGGACAUCAUGGAAAAAUCUUUGAUGUGCUUGCAACUGCCUGGCUGGUGGGACUUCCCAAGGCAAAAAACACAGCGAUCGUGACUGUCCUGAAAGGGCAGUUUGUGGGAGCAGAUGGUACAGCGGCUGAAAGGACCGGAACGGGACAUAAGCAGAAUAUUACAGAAUUUGAAACACAGGAAUCAUGGGAAAGGACACAGUAACAGAUUCAUGGAAGAAACUAAGGAAAAAGUUCUGAGGUUCCCUUGGUCUCUCUUGGAAACCCUUUGUGAACCUUGGGAUAGGUGGGUGUGGGUGUCUUCUGUGCAGUCAAGUCAGA
Molecule: non-coding RNA, 393 nt
Organism: Pogona vitticeps (central bearded dragon)
Lineage: Eukaryota; Metazoa; Chordata; Lepidosauria; Squamata; Agamidae
Source: RefSeq, a predicted model, not a curated record